AGAGAGGCGCUGGGGUGAAGAGAUCCCGAGAGCCAGCUCCUGAUUGUGGAAGAUUAGCGCUGAGCUAACAUCCGUUGCCAAUCCUCCCCUUUUUGCUGAGGAAGACUGGCCCUGAGCUCACAUCCGUGCCCAUCUUCCUCCACUUUAUAUGUGGGACGCCUACCACAGCAUGGCUUGCCAAGCAGUGCCAUGUCCGCACCUGGGAUCUGAACCAGCGAACCCCGGGCCGCCCAAGUGAAACAUGCCCACUUAACCACUGUGCCACGAGGCCAAACCCCAGUUAUUUCUUGUAUUCUC
This 297-nucleotide long non-coding RNA is filed under the name Equus caballus (horse). RNAcentral's name for it is "lncRNA (ENSECAG00000045667.1)". The record is from RNAcentral. Lineage: Eukaryota; Metazoa; Chordata; Mammalia; Perissodactyla; Equidae.